Molecule: long non-coding RNA, 2789 nt
Organism: Cyprinus carpio carpio
Lineage: Eukaryota; Metazoa; Chordata; Actinopteri; Cypriniformes; Cyprinidae
Source: Ensembl
GGGUUCACUUUUGGGGGGUUUUCCACUGGAUACACCACAGAUACAGGCUCCUGGUACUUUUUUUAGUACCGCCUCGGUUGUGUCACAAUCAUGGACUUCUAUUCUCCUGUUUCUUUUGAGUUUUCCUUAUUUGGUCAUGUUCCUUUUCUUGUUUAGUUAAUUGAUUACUCCCCACCUGUUUCUGUUCUCCCUGAUUACGUUCCAUCAGUUUAUAAGCCCUGUCUGUUUUGCCUUUCUUUGUCGGUUCUUAAAGUAUCAUUGUGUUAAAUUAUGUAUGUGUUUGUUCUUUGCCCUUGUGAUCAUUAAAAACCAACUCCUUUUUGGAUUUUUGUCUGGCACCCUUCAUUUGGACACAUGCAUGUGUUACAGAAGAACCAACCUAAACCGAAGAAAAAUGAAGGCUGAAGAAGAGCUGAGGUGUUUGAGGCAGAGCGGUCGGUGGUUGGAGUGAUAUGUAGAGGAUGUCCUCGAUCUCACAAAUCGGGUGAGUUAUCAUGACUCGUUCCUGGGUGCUUGUUUUUUGCUGGACGAGGACACAAUCCGUUGCACUCUUCCUGGUGGUGAUAUUUUUUUUCCCCCUGAUCAAGCUUAUUAAUCUGGUCCUCUGGUUGAACAAUUCAGACUUCGAGGUGGAAGAAGUACGUAAUCAACCAAAUUUUCCACGUCCAGUCCCCUCAGGAACGAGCCCUGUUGCGCCGGCUCACCCAGAGCUGGGAACCUCUACAUACCGCUCCAUUGGCUCCUCCCGCCUACCCAAACCCAACCACCCCAGUAGCCUCCCGAACUCAGCCAUCUCCCUCAGCCCGCCAAUGCGGCAACCGGUGGCAAGUCAUAUGGCAAGCUAUAUAUAUAUAUAUAUAUAUAAAAAACCGCCCUCUCCUCCAGAUCACCCUCCAUCACCAGUCCCCAGCUUUAGUGUCCUGGACAUGGCAUUACCCCCAAGUUUCUCCACACUUAUCCUCUCCCCAGAUUUCCCUCUAGAGCACUUCCCUGAACCUCCUUCACCACCUAAGUCUCCGCUGGUUCCGCCCAGCCUUGAAUCUCCUGUGUCUCCACUGGUUCCGCCCAGCCUUGAAUCUCCUACGUCUCCAUUGGUUCCGUCCAUCCCUUCAUCUCCUGAGCACCCUGAGUUAAGCCCACGGCGGGCUCCCGGUCCCCAGUCGAGCCCGGGAGGGGCUCGCGGGGCCCAGUCAAGCCCAGGGAGGGCCCCUGAACCCCAGUCGAGCCCAGGGGGGGCCCUGAACCCCAGAGCUCGCUCCAGUGUCGGCUCUUGCCCCAGAGCUCGCUCCUGUGUCUGCUCCAGGCCCCAAGUCCAAGCGCUUAAGUUUUCCCAAGUAUUUUUUUUUUGGGGGUGGUGGGGGGUUAGUAGAGAUCCAGCCAUAGAGGCCGAGGCGGGGGUUGGAGCCGUGGCCUCGGAGCCAGAGCCGCCAUGGCCCCCCGAGUCUCCAGAGCCGCCAUGGCCCCCCGAGUCUCCAGAGCCGCCAGACCCGCCAUGGCUGCCCGAGUCUCCAGAUCCGCCCUGGAGGUCCUCCUCAACUCCACCCCUUUCCUGCCCUGCACCAACCUCCAGGUCGCCCACCCCCCUCCCCGGUGUUACGGCUCGGGACGAGCCUUCUGGGAGGGGGGAGUAAUGACACAAUCAUGGACUUCUAUUCUCCUGUUUCUUUUGAGUUUUCCUUAUUUGGUCAUGUUCCUUUUCUUGUUUAGUUAAUUGAUUACUCCCCACCUGUUUUUGUUCUCCCUGAUUACGUUCCAUCAGUUUAUAAGCCCUGUCUGUUUUGCCUUUGUCGGUUCUUAAAGGGGUCAUGAAAUGAGAAACCAAAUUUGCCUUGAUCUUUUGGAAUAUAAGAGGUCUUUGUACCAUUAAAACGUCCUGCAAGUUUCAUAGCUUAAGACGUCCUCCCCAUUAUAAACGAGCCAUUUAAUUAAUCAAGCUCUAAAUACAGCUUGUUCUGGAUCCAUGGUAAGAAGUGACGUCACGGUGCGAAGUGAGGUUCCAACCAUUUGCAUAUGACCGCCUCCAGCACAAGACAACUAUGCUCAUUUCGUAUCGUUGUCGCGCCGCGUGCCUCACAAGUGUUCAGUCGACGGACAGCGAGUGGGUCUGUGUACAGGAAAAUUACAAUGCCAUGCAGAUGUGCUCAAACAUAUAAGGUUUUAUCAUUGCAAGAGCCAUCGCUUCGAAUGCAUCACCCGCUACUAAACAGUUACGCUCAAUCCACAAAUGUUCUGGCUGGGGGUGUUAAUAAUUGAUCCAUAGGCACUGUCGUUAGCCAAUCAUAACAGUGGGCGUUAACACUGAACUCUUAAAGGGGAAACAACCCAAAAACAGAGUGUUUGAAUCAAAGGAUGAGAAACAGGGUGGGAAAAUGUCAUAAUUCACUACAUUUUAAAAGUUUUUUUUUUUUUUUUUAAACUAUAGUAAUACUAUAAUUGCACCUAGGGGACCAUAAUAAUAAAAUAAAAAAACCCAUGUCAUGACCCCUUUAAAGUAUCAUUGUGUUAUGUUUGUUUGUUCUUUGCCCUUGUGAUCAUUAAAAACCAACUCCUUUUUGGAUUUUCGUCUGGCACCUUUCAUUUGGAGACACGCACGUGUUAUAGGUUAAGGUUCCAAGUGAACCAUACCAUUACCAAAGUGUGAUGUGUAAGCUCUGCUGAUCACUGAUUGGCUGGAGAGAAUCGGCACUACCUGCGUCCCUGAACUUGCGACACAAGCACAAAAGAACCGCUAGAUUUAAAUCAGCACAGCCAGAGAAGGAUCGACCGUGUGUGUGUGAGCGCACUUUUUU